GGUCCAUUGGCUCAAUGGUAGAGUGUCGGAUUCCUAGUUAGGAAUUCAUCCGAAGGUUGUGGGUUCGAGCCCCAUGUGGAUCG
Non-coding RNA from Aspergillus leporis, 83 nucleotides. Lineage: Eukaryota; Fungi; Ascomycota; Eurotiomycetes; Eurotiales; Aspergillaceae. The record is from the annotation of a GenBank genome assembly.